Molecule: unclassified non-coding RNA, 518 nt
Filed under: Hevea brasiliensis (rubber tree)
Lineage: Eukaryota; Viridiplantae; Streptophyta; Magnoliopsida; Malpighiales; Euphorbiaceae
Source: RNAcentral
UGUUGUUCGAUAUUCCUAAUCCAAUUCCUUAUGUUGUUGAACGACGAUUCAUCAGUGACAUCAUAAACAAGCAAGAUACCCAUGGCCCCGCGAUAGUAAGCAGUUGUAAUGGUUCUAAAUCUUUCUUGACCUGCAGUAUCCCAAAUUUGCAGUUUGAUUCGUUUAGCAUCUAGUUCAAUUGUCCUUAUCUUGAAAUCAAUUCCAAUUGUAGUGAUGAAACUCGUGGUGAAAGAGCCAUCAGAAAACCGCAGUAGAAGACAACUCUUACCAACACCGCUAUCGCCGAUGAGGAGAAGCUUUAUGAGAUAAUCAUAGUCCGCCCGAGCCCUAGCCGGUGGCGCAGCCAUGGAAUCAACGCGGUCACGAGAAGCAACGACCCGAUCACAAACCCCCCUCUCAGAUCGAAUCGACGGAGUCUCCGGCCGUGGAGGAGAUCGUGAGCGGCGAGAUCGGAGAUCUGUCGCUUUCUCUCUCCUCCCGCUCUCUUGUUUUCUCUCUCCUCUUUCUCACUCGUGAAG